Non-coding RNA from Podarcis lilfordi (Lilford's wall lizard), 65 nucleotides. NCBI's taxonomy places the organism in Eukaryota, Metazoa, Chordata, Lepidosauria, Squamata, Lacertidae. The record is from the annotation of a GenBank genome assembly.
GGUUAGGCUGAGAGGCAGUGAGACUUUUAAUCUCAGGGUUGUGGGUUCGAAUCCCAUGUUGGGCG